AGAGUUUGAUCCUGGCUCAGGAUGAACGCUGGCGGCGUGCUUAACACAUGCAAGUCGAACGAUGAUCUCCAGCUUGCUGGGGGGAUUAGUGGCGAACGGGUGAGUAACACGUGAGUAACCUGCCCUUGACUCUGGGAUAAGCCUGGGAAACUGGGUCUAAUACUGGAUACUACCUUCCCACGCAUGUGGUGUUGGUGGAAAGCUUUUGUGCUGCCCGAUCCCCCGC
This 226-nucleotide ribosomal RNA is filed under the name uncultured bacterium. RNAcentral describes it as "partial 16S ribosomal RNA". It matches the Rfam family "Bacterial small subunit ribosomal RNA", at positions 8 to 219 of the family's 1533-position model. The record is from RNAcentral.